This is a long non-coding RNA of Homarus americanus (American lobster), 1176 nucleotides long. RefSeq lists it as uncharacterized. The transcript has 2 exons. NCBI's taxonomy places the organism in Eukaryota, Metazoa, Arthropoda, Malacostraca, Decapoda, Nephropidae. The record is from RefSeq and is a predicted model, not a curated record.
UGGUGGAACGUAUUUAGAGAUCGACGUUGUAUAAGACGACUCCUAGUUUUAAGAAAACAAAUUGAAGCUUCAAAGGUCAACUUACAGGCCACUGUACUGUACAUCUACAUGAGUAAAGUUGGACUCACAAACAAACCUCCAGAACAUAACUCAUUCAUCAGUAGAGCUCCCUCCUCCUAUAGUGGCUUAUAAUCAUUGUGAACAGUACAUCAUUUGGGGGAAGUAUUUUCAUUGCAGAAAAGUAUCUUGGCUUUUAUAAUGGGAGUCUAUGGAAAAAUUGAUGUGAUUUACUAAAGGUUUCUCAGGAACAAAACUUUUAUAAACUGAGGAAUGUCUGUAAAACCUUUCUAAUAUUAAAAGUACCAGAAAAUAUUAAGUAAAAUACCAGAUAGUAAUUACGGUUCAGUUAACUUCAGGUCUAGUUCACUGCAGGUCCAGCUCAAUUCGGGUCCAUUUUAGCCAGUGGGGGAGAAAGUAUAUGAAAAUAUUACUUAAGAUAAAGUACUGCACUGUUACUAUGUAAAAAUUAAAACUUGUAUUAGUACACGGAGUCCCCGACUUAUGAACACCCUCCGAUAUGAACGGUGUUAAACUUGAAAUUUACAAUAUUUCAUCAGAUAACAUUUUUUACUUUCAUUUACUGUAUUGUCAAUUCAUUUCUUUUUUUUGUCUUAAAUUAAAUGAUUUUAGAUGUAUAUAAGGACUUUGGCUGUGAUAUAGUGAGAUUUUAAACAUUGUUCUGUAAGUACGGUAUGCUCCUAGCAUGCAUUCCGACUUACAAAUCCGACUCAGAAUGUCGUCAGGAAUGGAACCCGUUCGUAACCUGGGGACCCCCUGUAAUCUUCUUCAAAACUACUUUAGUAAUACAGGCUGUAGUUUAAUUAACUGAAGUGAAACAUAAAAGUAGAAGGGUAAAAUAACAGUAGUAUUUGUAAAUUAUCAUAAUUGAUAAUGUAAUACUGCUUUGAAAAUGAAGCUAAAAGUUAUUAAUAAACUUAAAAGAUAAAUAAUAUAUACGAGACUGAGAAACACUAAUGUAGCUACAAUACACAUUAGGUUAAUUUAGAGUUGAGUUUCAGUGAUAACUAAUCUUCAUAUUUCUUGUGGCACACCUGGGUUGGAAUAUCAGUUCAGCUUAGGUGUUAAUGAUUUUAUGCUUUUACUUUAUGUACACUU